ACGCUAGCUACAGGCUUAACACAUGCAAGUCGACUUGCAGCAUGGUCUUAGCUUGCUAAGGCCGAUGGCGACCGGCGCACGGGUGAGUAACACGUAUCCAACCUGCCGUCUACUCUUGGACAGCCUUCUGAAAGGAAGAUUAAUACAAGAUGGCAUCAUGAGUCCGCAUGUUCACAUGAUUAAAGGUAUUCCGGUAGACGAUGGGGAUGCGUUCCAUUAGAUAGUAGGCGGGGUAACGGCCCACCUAGUCUUCGAUGGAUAGGGGUUCUGAGAGGAAGGUCCCCCACAUUGGAACUGAGACACGGUCCAAACUCCUACGGGAGGCAGCAGUGAGGAAUAUUGGUCAAUGGGCGAGAGCCUGAACCAGCCAAGUAGCGUGAAGGAUGACUGCCCUAUGGGUUGUAAACUUCUUUUAUAAAGGAAUAAAGUCGGGUAUGGAUACCCGUUUGCAUGUACUUUAUGAAUAAGGAUCGGCUAACUCCGUGCCAGCAGCCGCGGUAAUACGGAGGAUCCGAGCGUUAUCCGGAUUUAUUGGGUUUAAAGGGAGCGUAGAUGGAUGUUUAAGUCAGUUGUGAAAGUUUGCGGCUCAACCGUAAAAUUGCAGUUGAUACUGGAUAUCUUGAGUGCAGUUGAGGCAGGCGGAAUUCGUGGUGUAGCGGUGAAAUGCUUAGAUAUCACGAAGAACUCCGAUUGCGAAGGCAGCCUGCUAAGCUGCAACUGACAUUGAGGCUCGAAAGUGUGGGUAUCAAACAGGAUUAGAUACCCUGGUAGUCCACACGGUAAACGAUGAAUACUCGCUGUUUGCGAUAUACUGCAAGCGGCCAAGCGAAAGCGUUAAGUAUUCCACCUGGGGAGUACGCCGGCAACGGUGAAACUCAAAGGAAUUGACGGGGGCCCGCACAAGCGGAGGAACAUGUGGUUUAAUUCGAUGAUACGCGAGGAACCUUACCCGGGCUUAAAUUGCAGAUGAAUUACGGUGAAAGCCGUAAGCCGCAAGGCAUCUGUGAAGGUGCUGCAUGGUUGUCGUCAGCUCGUGCCGUGAGGUGUCGGCUUAAGUGCCAUAACGAGCGCAACCCUUGUUGUCAGUUACUAACAGGUUCCGCUGAGGACUCUGACAAGACUGCCAUCGUAAGAUGUGAGGAAGGUGGGGAUGACGUCAAAUCAGCACGGCCCUUACGUCCGGGGCUACACACGUGUUACAAUGGGGGGUACAGAGGGCCGCUACCACGCGAGUGGAUGCCAAUCCCCAAAACCUCUCUCAGUUCGGACUGGAGUCUGCAACCCGGCUCCACGAAGCUGGAUUCGCUAGUAAUCGCGCAUCAGCCACGGCGCGGUGAAUACGUUCCCGGGCCUUGUACACACCGCCCGUCAAGCCAUGGGAGCCGGGGGUACCUGAAGUGCGUAACCGCGAGGAGCGCCCUAGGGUAAAACUGGU
This 1435-nucleotide ribosomal RNA is filed under the name uncultured organism. RNAcentral describes it as "SSU rRNA". It matches the Rfam family "Bacterial small subunit ribosomal RNA". The record is from RNAcentral.